RNAcentral lists this transfer RNA (73 nucleotides) under Neisseria elongata subsp. elongata. RNAcentral's name for it is "tRNA_Arg_CCG". It matches the Rfam family "tRNA". From Rfam's summary of the family: Transfer RNA (tRNA) molecules are approximately 80 nucleotides in length. Their secondary structure includes four short double-helical elements and three loops (D, anti-codon, and T loops). Further hydrogen bonds mediate the characteristic L-shaped molecular structure. tRNAs have two regions of fundamental functional importance: the anti-codon, which is responsible for specific mRNA codon recognition, and the 3' end, to which the tRNAs corresponding amino acid is attached (by aminoacyl-tRNA synthetases). tRNAs cope with the degeneracy of the genetic code in two manners: having more than one tRNA (with a specific anti-codon) for a particular amino acid; and 'wobble' base-pairing, i.e. permitting non-standard base-pairing at the 3rd anti-codon position. Lineage: Bacteria; Pseudomonadati; Pseudomonadota; Betaproteobacteria; Neisseriales; Neisseriaceae. RNAcentral also lists the same sequence under 1 other name. The record is from RNAcentral.
GUACCCGUAGCUCAGUUGGAAGAGUGUCAGCCUCCGAAGCUGAAGGUCGCUGGUUCGAUCCCAGUCGGGUGCG